GACAAGCUGAAGACUUAGCCAAUAGUUAGCAUCAACCUCUGUUAUUUGGCAGAAUGAGUUUUCAAAUGAUUGUAACACUGUCUUCAAAUUUCCCUGAUAUUGAGUGAAGCAGAAACGAGCUCUCUCUGAAAAACCCUGGCCAAUAUGCAGAUUUGAUGAAGACAGAAUGAUAUUUGACAAACUGGUGAAGUUCUCUUUUUGAAGACCUAAGAUUUUGACUGGAAUUGCCAGAAUACUUCAAUACAUAUUUAAGCCUAGACAAUAAUCAUUAGGCUAGGGAUUCCAUCCAUCCUGAAGCAGGUGAACCCAACAGUAAAGUUAUAGGGACCAUACAACUUGAAACAUCUCUGACUGCUUAAUGAUACCAGAUGCUCUGCUGAAAAACUUUUGAAAGUGUUCCUUAAACCUCGAGAUAUUUUUGAUUUCUGCUCUGGAUAUUUCUUGGAAUAGAAAUCUUAGACUACUAUGUGUCUUCUGUAUCUGACUCUACUGGCACAAUUUCUCUGACUCAUGACUCCAAGGUUGGAGAAUAAGGAAUCCUUGGCAGAGAAACUUCUGUGGCUGGCUUUUAAAUGCUUUUUCCCCUCUUUGUUCCAUGAGUCCCUUAAUUGUUAUGUUGAAGGUACUAGACAAUAUUUUUCACCUUUCCUUUUAACCUAAUCUAGUAUUAGGCUUUAUUUAUAUAAGUUAUUUGUAUUCAUAUCUGAGAGAUGCAUAGCAAUUUUGAUCACUAAUAUAGACAUUAUGUAAUUUACCAAAAAAUAGUAAUAUGGAAAUAACUUUAUUUUUCUCCUCUCAAGAUGCUUAUUAUGACUCAAAAGAUCCCAUGAGACUAUAUAUUCUGUUCAACUUAUUAUCGAAGAAAAUUCCAUAUUUUGUUUUAAGUCUGAAAACACAGUUUUGAUAUUUCCUUAGCAUACUUGUGCAUUUGCAAAUUCUUUCAAAAAAAGCCCUACUCAAGGGAGUCAAAUUUGUUUAAUUUCUAUCAAAAGUUAUAAUUUUAUUUUGUUUACCCUGUUGAUUUCUGUCAAUAUAUUCUUAUUAAUGACAAACUAUUGUGUUAAUAUUUUUACAUUUAACUACAUGCUAUUUACUUGGAAUCAAUAUUACCAAUAUACUGCAAAAUUUAUUAUAUGGUUUCAAUAGUUGCAUAAACAUUUAAAGGAAAAAAAUAGGAGUCACAUCCAAUUUGUCUUUUUUUUCUUUUAAUGGAACAGGGAUGUAACAAUGCUGCUUAGAACUUGUUUAUAUUAUCAGCAUAUUACAUAGGCAACACAUAAAAGUAAAUCAAUUUGUACAUGAAAAUUGAUAAUAUAAAUAAAGACACUGGGAAGUAAACUCUAAUAUUUCAGCUUUUUUGGUGUUUUAAUUUAUGUCUGUGUUUUUUUUGGUUAAUGGUUGGCAUUUGGUCUUAAUUUCUCCAGAUUGUUAGUUUUCUUGAUAUCAGAAGGUAAUUAUAUAAUCCAACUCACCCGGCUGAUAUAGCAUUUUCUAAUCUGUCGUGAAGUAGGUACAUUCUUCUUCUUCUGUUUUUUUUUUUUUUUUUUUUUUUUUUGAGAUGGAUUUUUGUUCUUGUCACCCAGGCUGGAGUGCAGUGGCACAAUCUCAGCUCACUACAACCUCCGCCUCCCAUGUUCAAGCGAUUCUCGUGCCUCAGCUGCCCAAGUAGCUGGGAUUGCAGGUGCCCGCCACCACACCCAGCUAAUUUUUGUAUUUUUGGUAGAGUUUGGGUUACACUGCCAGAAUGGUCUUAAACCCCUGACCUCAGGUGAUCAACCCUUCUUGGCCUCCCAAAGAGCUGUGUGAACCACCACACCCCAUCGGUAAAUUCUUAAACGGAGGCAGAAUGAUUGGCUGAGAAUUCUGUCACUUUCUGCUCUUAAAAUACUGUCUUCCUUACAACUUUGUGUGACUUUUGUAGAUAGGCUAAAAAAUUUGUUGGUUUUCCUCAACUAUUAAAGUAGGAAAAAUAUUAGGAAUUUCCGAGCACUAUAUAAAAAUGUUAAGACAAUAAAAUAGAUUAUAUUCCUUAAAAUGGCAAAUAAAAUAUUGAUUCUUUCAGAAAUUUUCUCAAAAUUGAAACUGGACAUGAGUCUUCCAUUGUAUUGACAGAAAACAACAUUUGUGAAAUAUUAAAUUUUAUAUAAUUUUAUGAAUGCAUCUUUUUAAUGGCUGGCCUCUGUGAUUUGGAUUGAAGAUGGAUUAAUCUAUAAGGAAUCACUUCAUAAAACUAUAAGUAACA
Molecule: non-coding RNA, 2242 nt
Organism: Callithrix jacchus (white-tufted-ear marmoset)
Lineage: Eukaryota; Metazoa; Chordata; Mammalia; Primates; Cebidae
Source: RefSeq, a predicted model, not a curated record